Eptesicus fuscus (big brown bat) is the source of this 372-nucleotide long non-coding RNA. RefSeq lists it as uncharacterized. The transcript is spliced from 2 exons. Lineage: Eukaryota; Metazoa; Chordata; Mammalia; Chiroptera; Vespertilionidae. The record is from RefSeq and is a predicted model, not a curated record.
CCCCAAGCAGCGGAGCCUCUCCUGACCCUGCAAGCUCCUUCUGGGAUAUCUUUCUCUUCUGGCUCAGGAGCCAUCCUCUCUGUUCCAGCAAGAAUCACCCCCAUGGACCAGGGAGAGCUGGUGUGGGGUUCACCCGCCCCCGAGCUCCGUACGUUCUGCGCCGCGUCUGGGGAGCUCCGUCCACCUGGAUGUGCUCGAUGGCCAGAGAGUCUACAUCCAGACCAGCGGUUCCCACAUGGGCACAUGCCCCCCAGGGGGCAGUUUGACUUUUAAGGGGGGCGAUUCGAGAAUGAGUUAUUAACAGUGAACUUUUUAUAUUUCUUAUGGUUCUAGGGGCCUCAUCUACAGCAUAUAAAUAUAGAUUGUGGCAUA